Molecule: ribosomal RNA, 23 nt
Filed under: Pleosporales sp. r289
Lineage: Eukaryota; Fungi; Ascomycota; Dothideomycetes; Pleosporales
Description: partial 28S ribosomal RNA
Source: RNAcentral
UUGACCUCGGAUCAGUAGGACCC